This 253-nucleotide ribosomal RNA is filed under the name uncultured bacterium. RNAcentral describes it as "partial 16S ribosomal RNA". It matches the Rfam family "Bacterial small subunit ribosomal RNA", at positions 524 to 776 of the family's 1533-position model. The record is from RNAcentral.
UACGUAGGCAGCGAGCGUUGUUCGGAGUUACUGGGCGUAAAGCGUGCGUAGGCGGUGGCCCAAGUCUGGUGUGAAAUCUCCCGGCUCAACUGGGAGGGUGCGCCGGAAACUGGGCUGCUGGAGUACGGGAGAGGCAAGCGGAAUUCCUGGUGUAGCGGUGAAAUGCGUAGAUAUCAGGAGGAACACCCGUGGUGCAGACGGCUUGCUGGACCGUGACUGACGCUGAGGCACGAAAGCGUGGGUAGCAAACAGG